Long non-coding RNA from Pan paniscus (pygmy chimpanzee), 415 nucleotides. NCBI's taxonomy places the organism in Eukaryota, Metazoa, Chordata, Mammalia, Primates, Hominidae. The record is from Ensembl.
CUUCACUCUACCAGAAACAACUGCUCACAGGACAAAUCUGGCCCCCAGGUCUUUUUAAAUGAAAGGAAAUCAAGAUAAGGUGAAGAGGAGAUCAGUUGCCUCUGCAGAAGGUGUCUGAGAAGGAGAUGUUGAAGGUGCCACGGGGUUAGACAAAAGGAGCAGAUCUUCAGUGUGUGUCCUCAGCCAGAUGCUGGAACAACUGGAAGGAUCGCAGCUUUGCUUCUCCUCUUCCCCCAUAAGUCAUCUGAGAAGACUGCUUAAAUAUUCCACACUGCCUUAGUGUGACUGAAAUUUCCAGCUGUUUUGCUGCCAGGAAGAACCAGGUGCCUUGGGAACAGUGAGGCUGAAAGGAGCAGGAAGCAAAGAAUGUGGCUGUUGAAGGUAGGGUCUCCUUUGAUUAGGGUUUUACUUAGGC